RNAcentral lists this ribosomal RNA (495 nucleotides) under uncultured bacterium. RNAcentral describes it as "partial 16S ribosomal RNA". It matches the Rfam family "Bacterial small subunit ribosomal RNA", at positions 28 to 507 of the family's 1533-position model. The record is from RNAcentral.
GACGAACGCUGGCGGCGUGCCUAAUACAUGCAAGUAGAACGCUGAAGGAGGAGCUUGCUUCUCUGGAUGAGUUGCGAACGGGUGAGUAACGCGUAGGUAACCUGCCUUGUAGCGGGGGAUAACUAUUGGAAACGAUAGCUAAUACCGCAUAAGAGUAGAUGUUGCAUGACAUUUGCUUAAAAGGUGCAAUUGCCUCACUACCAGAUGGACCUGCGUUGUAUUAGCUAGUUGGUGGGGUAAAGGCUCACCAAGGCGACGAUACAUAGCCGACCUGAGAGGGUGAUCGGCCAAACUGGGAAUGGGACACGGCCCAGACUUCUACGGGAGGGAGCAGUAGGGAAACUUUGGAAAUGGACGGAAGGCUGAACGAGGAACGCCGCGGGAGGGAAGAAGGGUUUCGGAUCGGAAAGCUCUGUUGUAAGAGAAGAAAGAGUGUGAGAGUGGAAAGUUCACACUGUGACGGUAUCUUACCAGAAAGGGACGGCUAACUACGUG